Molecule: long non-coding RNA, 4734 nt
Organism: Camarhynchus parvulus
Lineage: Eukaryota; Metazoa; Chordata; Aves; Passeriformes; Thraupidae
Source: Ensembl
GCGGGGGAUGGGAGGUAAAGAAAAUAAAGUUGUAGCUGGCUAUAUGCAAGGUUGCAAUCCCGCCCUGGAAACCCCUCUGUGAUGACUGUGUGCUGCUGUUCGCCAGCUCCCUACAGAGGUUCAGAUUGAGGGGGGGGGCAGGGGGUGGGGGCGACGGGGGGGAGGGGAGAAGAGGAAAGGGGUUGCAUCGGGAUUUUUCUUGCGUGUGUGUGUGGGUUUUUUUUUUUUUUUUUCCCCGAAGAGUUCAACCCUUAGAUUACCGCACUGCAUAUCCGGCUGGAAGCAGCUUUCAGUACCGCCGACAGCAGCAGCGAGCGAGCGAGCAGCUCCAGCCGGACACUGCCACCCAACUGAGCUGCACCCCGAGUUGGGAGAAAUGGCUUUCGCGGAAGGGGGGCAAGCGGCGGGGACUGGGGGUGGCAAGCAACAGCAAGGGAAGACCCAGCGAGGAAGGGGCGGGGGGGACGAGGAGGAAGGGAGGAAGAAAGGAGGGAAAGAGAGCGAGAGAAAAGUCAAGCCCGGUACUUACUUCGCCCGAAAUCUCCAGGGCCCAAGCAUGGUGGCAGCCCAUGAAGAUGCCGACCCGCUGCGCGGGCGCUGCGCGGAGCCGCCGGGGCGGCGGAGGCGAGGACGGCAGCGCCGGGGAGCUCGGAACAUAUGGAGUACACCCCAUGUGCACAGCACAGAGGUUGGAAUCCAGCUGUAACUCAAGAUUGCUGCAAGACAUAGAGCAAGAAAUGUUGAUCCUUGAGGCACAUGAAUUUGCCCAGCAAGAACUUCAUCAGUCUUAAUGGUUUCUGAAUACUGGAUCUAGGCUCUGCAAAUGAGAGAUUUACAUGACUGAAUAUAUGGCUCAUGGAACAGCUUUCAGGAUUGAUGUGAUGGCAGACCUUUGUAUCAGAAAGGGGUUUUUCUCUGUUUCUUUUUUUGCUGUUAUACAUUGAUUAAAAUCCCAUGUAGAUGCUGUAAUAAGAAAUCAAUUUCCUUGCUUUGUGCUUACAUUUUCUUAUAAAAGAAAUUCCUGUUUAUUCAACAAAUUACAUUUAAUUAAAUGAGCAGAUUAAAUUUGUAUUUUAUUUCCUUUCAUUACAUAUUCCUUUGUUCUUAAUAAUAUUUUUAGCCAGCAUAUUUUUUGUUUGCAUACACUUUAUGGAGCUCAGUGAUUGACCUUCACACCCAAGAUGAAAUGGAAUAAGUGUCUUUGUUAUGGUGAUGGCAAAGUAUAAAAAACAUACAGGAAAAUGUUACCAUCCCUUGCCUAUUAAAUUUGCAGAUGUGACAGGAUAUUCAGAACAAUAACUGCAUGUGAUUUAUCAGUACUGACUGCUGACUGCCACAGUUUCAUUUGCUACACUAACACCCAAAAUGCUACUGUAAAACAUAAACCUUUUGUUUUGCAUUCCUCCCUUUGACAAAAACUGAUUUAAUUGACUUGUCUGUCCCAUGUGUUGUCUUCAUUCCAAAUUCCUAGCUGGAAAAAUAUAGUACAAUCGUGAAAAACCUUCUGACCCUUCUAAAUAUGACAGGUAUAGAAUCUCUAGCCAUUUAACAUAUACUUCUGCUUUCAGCAUACUUUCCCAAAUAAAGACUGUAUUUCUGAAUAUCAAAUAUAUUACUUGUGUAGAGUAAAAAGUAACAAAUCUUCUCACUUUGCAGAAAAAACCCACAUAUUAUCCUUUAUCAUUAUUUAAUAUAUAAUUUUAUCUUUCUUUUUUCAAAUAGGAACAAGAUUUGCAUGCCAGAAAUAUACCCUUCUAUAUUAUACUAUAUCAGAAAUAUCUCUGAUAAUGCCAUGCAAUUUUUCUUCAUCCUUUGCACACCUGAAAAACUUAUUUAUUGCCUUGAAUACUUGCCUUGAAUACUCUUCCACUAAGGAUAGGAUUCUUUCAAAUGUUUUCAUUAAUGAAGCUGUUAAUUAAAGCUGCUAGUUUACAGACUGCCAAAGCUUUAAAGAGUUUGCUUAAAGAUCCAACAUGUAUGUUAGAUAAAUUAGCAUCUAAGAAAAUGCAUCGUGUUGUUUAUUGUUGUCAUUGUCAUUUAUUCCCUCUUUUUUUUACAUAACUUCCAGUAGAAGUUUGUUGAUAACAAGAGAUUCAAAAGUUAGAGCUUCAGUGAACUCAUAUUAAAUAAUAUCUUGAGAUAAACUUGUGGAUAAGUUCAGGGGCUUGCAUGCUUAAAGGGGGCUGAAGUGGACUUAGGAUAUCUGGGAACGUGAAUGAAGACAAUUCCACUCAGAAGAGCCUUCUGUGACACCUAAUCCUGAAGAGGCAAGAAACUGUUCCAGUGGGAGAUGAGCUGUUCUUACUGGAAAAAUUCAAGCACAGCAAAUAGGUACUGGAGCAUAAUUUAAAGGAGACUUUUCUGCUCCAGGCUGUCCCUGUGCUUAAUGGUAAACAGGUGUUAAAAGCCUCCUUAAGAUCUGAAUCAUCCUCUCAAGAAAGCUAUUUCUUUCAGUUGACUAUGUCCCUUUAUCCCUCAGGGAAAGUAAGUGUCUAAAAUAAUGUACAGGCUCAUUUAGGGGCUGAAAGCUAGAUGGGAAAGAGUCAGGUUCAGGAAUCUAUUUUUGGCUAUGCCAGAACUCACUAAAAAUGAGUAAGCUUCCAUGCUGCUAACCUCAGUUCUGGAAAUUAAAAGAAGCAGCUUACAUGAAAGUUCUGCACUAUUGUGUUAUGUUCUUUAAAGGUUAGUAAUGAAAAAAUAGAGUUUGAGGCUGUGUCUGUGGGAAGUCUUUAAUCUUAAACCAGAUGAAUUAACAACUCCGAGGGACAAAAGAUUCUGACACAGACAAAAAUUAUGUUUGACUGAGUCAAUCUACUAAAAGAAAUUUUUUUCUUGACCCAUAUAAAUAUAUUCCAUGAUAUAUUACAAUUCAGAACAAGCCUGUUUAAGAGUAAAUUAGCCUUACGCUGAUUGCUCCUUCACAUCUCCCAAAGAAAGUACAAUGCACGUGAGAAAUUCACAUUUUGUUGCUGAGAAGUUAUAUGUCUUAAAAGCAGCUCUUGACUUCCAAUUUCUUCAUUGUUCUGCUGAGAUUUUUCCCAGUGUUGUUUUUGACCUACUAACUUCUCUGCAGUCAAUUUCUUUUUGGAGUAUGGAGAAUCAGAAACAGUCUCAUGUCAAAUAUUUAACUCUAGCAUGUGUGACAUGCCAUAUGUUCAUCUAUUAUCUACAGCCUAAUAUAUACCACAGAAUAAUCUUGUAACAGAUCUUUUCUUCUCAUGUUCUUCAACAUACAUGGUCCAACCAGAAAGUAAUUGACAUUAUGAUGCUUAUACCAAUUCAGAGAGUGAGGAAUACCUCCUCUUGACAGCCUUAACAUUAUGAUUCAUUACACCUAACUUGUCCUGAUCUCAUUCCUUUACAUCUUAACCAGAUAAUGGCACUUAACACUAAUCUUGAGGAGGGUGGAAACACCUAAUGUAAGGUUAGCCCUGUGCUUUUAUCAGUUAUAAAGCUGAUUAUUGAAAAGCAAUUGAAAAAAACUGCUAUAAAAAGGCACUGACUUUAAUAAUGGCCCAAAGCAUAUUGAGUCAAAAUGCUUUAAAUUAAUAUCAAGGAACUUUGGCCUGGAGCAUUGUAGCUUUUUUUUUUUUUUUUUUUUUUUUUUUUUACACUUAAAGUAUUCUGAAAACUGCUGACAGGAAUUUUACUUUGUUUCUUCUUGUUAUUCUGUUGUUGCUCCUUUGUAGAUUGCGGCAUUAUUCUGUUUUCUUCGUAAAGCAUCUAAUAAGAUUUGAUUCUGUCAUAAAUCAUAUAUUUAUUUUAUUGAAUAAAACAUAAUUUCUAUGCUUAAGUUAAUAUAUUGGGGUUUUUCUUUUUUUGGUUUUAUUUUUGUUUUUCUCCAACUCCGUGCUUCGGAGUUCCUCUGUAAUUUGAUACUAAAUUACUGGGUUUGCAGGUUAUUAAAAACAGAGUAUUUGGCUCAUCUGUCACAUAUAUCUCAUUGAAGGAAUAUUCUAGGAAAGGUAUGCCACUCACACUAUUCUAGUUUGUUGUAAAAUGUGGUGAGACUACUCCUUUCAUACAGAAGCUCGGUGUUAAGAAAUUAUGACCUAGGAACUUGAUAACUUGACUUUUAACUGUCCCUUCAAAUUGACAGGUUUCAAAAUCACACUUAUUAAUACUUAGGGAAAGCGCUGUGUGUAGCAGGCUAAGCUUUUAUAUUCUAUAAAGCCAAUUAUGGAUCUAAACAUUUAAAAGUUUUCCUGUUUUGUUUGGCUUUUUUUCCAUUUAUAGUAAUCAGUUAACAAUCUUUUAAAUGAUCUGAGCAGCCUUAACCCAGAAUUCCACUCCAGGAAAUCCUUUUUACUCUGAAUGUUUACAGCACUCAAACCUUUUCAAACCUUAAACAAGAGCAGGGUUACUUUUUCAGUUAUAUGAAUUAACAAUAUAAAAAGAGCUGUAUGCAGUUGUGAAGCUUGCCAUAGUGUUAUCAAGUCCAAAUGUUGGACAGAUCCUUCACAAGCUGACAACACUGAUCAACAAGGUUAUAGUUUCCUUUGGUGACCUUGUUACCAAAGAUGUGAAAUUACCCAGUAACUGAAGGUAAAUGCUUGCAGUUAUAUCUUCAGGUUAAAAAAUACAUUUUAAAGAACACAGAGUUUUCAAAGAUCUUGAUAGUUUUGCAAUCAAGAGGAAAAUCCUCUUUGGUUCUAUCAGAAUAGAGAGGGUAGAUAUUAUUUCCUUUCUUUCCACUCCACAUGCCUAUCUUACAUUUUCAGUUGAGAAUAAGUG